This 412-nucleotide ribosomal RNA is filed under the name Enterobacter sp. Lgg10.16. RNAcentral describes it as "bacterial SSU rRNA". It matches the Rfam family "Bacterial small subunit ribosomal RNA", at positions 43 to 451 of the family's 1533-position model. Lineage: Bacteria; Pseudomonadati; Pseudomonadota; Gammaproteobacteria; Enterobacterales; Enterobacteriaceae. The record is from RNAcentral.
CAGGCCUAACACAUGCAAGUCGAACGGUAGCACAGAGAAGCUUGCUCCUUGGGUGACGAGUGGCGGACGGGUGAGUAAUGUCUGGGGAUCUGCCCGAUAGAGGGGGAUAACCACUGGAAACGGUGGCUAAUACCGCAUAACGUCGCAAGACCAAAGAGGGGGACCUUCGGGCCUCUCACUAUCGGAUGAACCCAGAUGGGAUUAGCUAGUAGGCGGGGUAAUGGCCCACCUAGGCGACGAUCCCUAGCUGGUCUGAGAGGAUGACCAGCCACACUGGAACUGAGACACGGUCCAGACUCCUACGGGAGGCAGCAGUGGGGAAUAUUGCACAAUGGGCGCAAGCCUGAUGCAGCCAUGCCGCGUGUAUGAAGAAGGCCUUCGGGUUGUAAAGUACUUUCAGCGGGGAGGAAGG